AUAUAUAUAUAUAUAUAUAUAUAUAUAUAGACACACAAAGGAGUGUUUGUUUGCGGGAUGGGACGAGAAGCAGCUUGGACGCUUUGCUAAGGUGGAACUUCUUUUAAAGUAGCAUCCAAGCUGCUUUUUUUGUCUUUACCUCAUUUUACCUGAUAAAAAAUGUCCCUUCGACAAAUAUUUUGUAAGUCACUCCUUUAGGAAAGAUGACUUUGAAAAGGAAGAGAAAAUCCGUAAGUCAAUGAGCAUUGAUGAAUUCCUGAAACCAGUUGGGGAACGAGGACACUGGCGUGAGAGGCCUUGUGGAGGCCAUACUUGCAGGAGGCCAUGCAGUGGUCGUGGACACAUUAUUAAUGGUGAGAGGCUGAAUGCUAGCCGUGUCAUCAGUCUGACAGCAGUCGUGGAGUUAAGUUAAAGAAGCUAAACAAUGGAGGAGAAAGCAGGAGAGAUAUUGGUGAUGGUGAAAUAUCAAUAGCUGCGCAUGGGGUUGGAUAAACUUCUGCCUGUGGAUCCUAAUCAAUUUCCUGCCCAGGGAUUGGGAAGAGGGGUAAAAGGAUAAGGUUUCUAUAGUUUUAGUUGUAAUUGCAGUUAUUAGAUCCGGCCUUAACUUUGAUCCAUUUCCUGUCACAGGGAAAUUAAAAUCCUGUUAAAGCAAACUUUGCGGUCUGUAGCUGCCCAGCUGGUUUAUUGUGGAUCAUUAAAAUAGUCCUUGAGUUAUAAUUACCAGGAUUCAUGAACUUGAUCGAUGAAA
This is a long non-coding RNA of Hevea brasiliensis (rubber tree), 748 nucleotides long. RefSeq lists it as uncharacterized. Lineage: Eukaryota; Viridiplantae; Streptophyta; Magnoliopsida; Malpighiales; Euphorbiaceae. The transcript is spliced from 2 exons. The record is from RefSeq and is a predicted model, not a curated record.